RNAcentral lists this ribosomal RNA (253 nucleotides) under uncultured bacterium. RNAcentral's name for it is "partial 16S ribosomal RNA". It matches the Rfam family "Bacterial small subunit ribosomal RNA", at positions 524 to 776 of the family's 1533-position model. The record is from RNAcentral.
UACAGAGGUCUCAAGCGUUGUUCGGAUUCAUUGGGCGUAAAGGGUGCGUAGGCGGCGCGGUAAGUCGGGUGUGAAAUCUCGGAGCUUAACUCCGGAACUGCAUUCGAUACUGCCGUGCUUGAGGACUGGAGAGGAGACUGGAAUUUACGGUGUAGCGGUGAAAUGCGUAGAUAUCGUAAGGAAGACCAGUGGCGAAGGCGGGUCUCUGGACAGUUACUGACGCUGAGGCACGAAGGUCAGGGGAGCAAACAGG